This 475-nucleotide ribosomal RNA is filed under the name uncultured organism. RNAcentral describes it as "partial 16S ribosomal RNA". It matches the Rfam family "Bacterial small subunit ribosomal RNA", at positions 335 to 801 of the family's 1533-position model. The record is from RNAcentral.
ACUCCUGCGGGAGGCAGCAGUGGGGAAUUUUGGACAAUGGGCGAAAGCCUGAUCCAGCAAUGCCGCGUGAGUGAAGAAGGCCUUCGGGUUGUAAAGCUCUUUUGUCAGGGAAGAAACGGUGAGAGCUAAUAUCUUUUGCUAAUGACGGUACCUGAAGAAUAAGCACCGGCUAACUACGUGCCAGCAGCCGCGGUAAUACGUAGGGUGCAAGCGUUAAUCGGAAUUACUGGGCGUAAAGCGUGCGCAGGCGGUUUUGUAAGUCUGAUGUGAAAUCCCCGGGCUCAACCUGGGAAUUGCAUUGGAGACUGCAAGGCUAGAAUCUGGCAGAGGGGGGUAGAAUUCCACGUGUAGCAGUGAAAUGCGUAGAUAUGUGGAGGAACACCGAUGGCGAAGGCAGCCCCCUGGGUCAAGAUUGACGCUCAUGCACGAAAGCGUGGGGAGCAAACAGGAUUAGAUACCCUUGUAGUCCCAUGAU